This is a long non-coding RNA of Rhododendron vialii, 3359 nucleotides long. RefSeq lists it as uncharacterized. The record is from RefSeq and is a predicted model, not a curated record. Lineage: Eukaryota; Viridiplantae; Streptophyta; Magnoliopsida; Ericales; Ericaceae. The transcript has 2 exons.
ACUAAAAUGAAAAAUGACAACUAAUCUUGGAGGAAUUGGUGGUUGUACUUGAAUCGGGGGUUGUACUUGAAACGUAACAGAAGAUAAACUCAUGACUAGUCACUUUAACCAACAAGGAGUAAAAUGUGUUUCAAUGGGGACCUGAUAGAACUAUAUCCUGUUUGCAGAACUAAACACUUCUCAGACUCAAAAUAAGUUGAGAUCCAACCAGAACUGUAAAAAUGACUGCAGAAUGUCACUAAACACCAAUAUUUUCAAAUAAUUUCCCUGCACCGGAUUGAGAAGUGAUUUGAGGGACAGAACUGAGAAAUUGUAACACCCAGAAUAACCUGGUUUAAGUGAACAAAGAAUAGCAAUUAGAAGUCCAAUAAACCCUGAAAAAGAAAUCAACCCGUUUAGGAUAUCCCCAUAAUAGAAAUGUCACGUUAUCACCAGUCAAGAAAGGCUUGAAAGAAGGCUAGUACAUAGUUUCUUCAGGCUAAAUGGAGAAACGGGGAAAAGGGGGAAAAAAAUACGGAAAAGAAGAAGAAAUUGUUUCACAUCAAAAACCUUACAUAAGCAAAUGGGCAAGCAAGCAUUUUAUUUUCAUCCUACAUUCUUUGCCCCCAAUUUUUUUUCCAGAACAGGGACUUCAUUAACAUUAAACAGAGAUGGGGCCUUGAAGCCGAUAAACAACAAGCCCCAUGGUUUCAGCAACCCAACAGCCCCCAAAGGCAGUCCAGGAUUAAACACCUAAUCAACAAAGAUUGAGGGGGUAGUAAUGAGACAAUCUAUGUUUCGAAAAGGGAGUAACAAGACAAUAAUGUCAAAACCAAGUUGUUUUUUGGGUAAUGUAGACACCCCAGACUAAUAAUCCCUACAGCCUCUCCCAGAGGCUUUUCACACACUUACACUUGGGGUGAGGUGACCCCGACAGUUGCUAGCAAAGGAAAUCGAACCUGAGACCUCAAGUGGGAGCAAACCCCAAAGUACCAGGCCAACCUUGGGUAGUCAAACCCAAGUAAAACCGAAUUUUCCUUUGCAAACAAAUGAAACCACCAAAACAUUUCUAGCCUCGGAUAUUCGAAAAACGAUAAGUUUCAAAAAAUCUGCUUCUGUAUUUUUUUUUCCUGAAUAGAAUGGAAACCAGGGUUAUCAACAAUGAGGUGCAAAAUCGGUUACAUCUAGAAAGAGGGGCUUUAAGAUCCAUAAUCUAGAAAAUCCAAAAUUCUCCAAACGGACCCUUGGACUCAGGCAUUAGUAAUUGAGAAUGAAGUAAACAUUUUGCAAUGAAGUUUCGCCUUUGAUAAUGGAGUUACAUGACAUGCCUUACAUUCAUCUACUAAUGUUAGGCCACGGUCUCUCUUUGUUGGCAAAUUUCACGACAAAACACACAUUUAAUUGUAUCCCUAUUUAUCGAGUUGUAAUUUAUUUUCAAUUUAUUUCUAGAGUGUCUAUUUAGGAAGUGGAAGGAAAUCAAUGAAAUUUGUAACUGAGUGGUAGAGAUUUUAAGUAAUUGAAGUGGAAGAAAAUCAAGGGAAUCAAGGAUUUCAAUAUAUAACAACUUCAAGAGGAAAGGAAGCUAGGGAAAUCAAUGUUUUGAUAUAUGGCAACGUUUUUCAGAAAGUUGCUUGAGCAACUCAAACAGACUUCAGAAGUUGCUCUAGCAACUCUAUCAGAUUCUGCAGCUUGUAAAUAUGUGGCUUAUUAGGGUUUUGUGGGUACCACAUAUGAUAUAGCCGCCCCAAAUCUCUUCCUAACCUAAGAAAACAUUGAAGGGACUUUGGCUUGAAUCUUGGAGUAAGGAGAAGAUCCAUGGAUCAUUGAGCAACAAGCAUAGCUCCAAGAAGUUCUUACAAACUUUGAUUCAACUUACUUGAGUUGGCCGUGGAUUUCUGAAGGAUAGUGGAAGGCUUGUGGAUUCAAGGCAGCGACGGUCAAAAACUGAGUGAGGUGACGUGGAUUCAACAAGUAAAUCUAACGGCGAUUUGUGAGGAUUCAGAAUUGUAGGGUAAGAUUACUUGUAACCGCACAAUAUUUCAUAGUGUUUGAUUCCUUCCCGUGGUUCUUACCCUUCCAGGGUUUCCAAAGUAUAUCAUUGCGUUCGUUGUUUGGUUGCUUUCAUUUGUGUGAUUGGUUGAAAUAUUGAUUGGUGAUUUGAUGGUUAUUAUAAGAGAUUAAAACAUAGCAAAUCUAUAAACCUAGGCGAACUACGGUUUUUCAAAUGGUAUCAGAGCGGGUCACAGAGUGCUCGCAGGGGUGGCAUUGUGUAACCAAAUCCAUGGGACACUCUGGGCCCAACAACUAACAAGUGUGGAAUGGGGGGCUUUAAAAUUCAUCCCUUAGGCCCUGCUUGGAUGGAGUCAAAAGAGGAGUGAAAUAAUAGGAGAGGGUAAAUGGGGUGGGGCCGAAGCUGUUGCCGCUGCUUGGAUGCAUCAUUCUUUCCCCUCUUUUCUUUUCCUCCGUUCUUCAUUUUGACGCUACCAUAGGUUUUAGCCGUGAAACUUUUGGGCUCCUCUUGGGUUGCCCAAAUUUUAUCCGGCUGUAGAGUGGUGAAAUUUGGACGAAAUCACCCCCGCUUAUCCCAUUUUCCCAACCCGAAAAUUCUUAUUUAGUUUCAAGGCUCUCUUCGGGUGCUCAUUGAAAGACCUUAGAGCCAAAAAUCUAUUAUGACUAUUUAAGAUAAAAUGAUCAGAAAAAUAAGAUCUUUGCACGGUUCAAACAGCUUGAAAAUUGGAACACUUAUCUUUUUACACCAUUUAUAUAUUAAAAAAUAUAGUUAAAAAACGUUUUUUAAUAUAAAUUUUUUAGAAUAGACAUUUUUUAAUUAAUUUAUUUUUUUAUACUUCCAAUUGUCCAAAAUUGAUUAAAUAUAUUGAUUUUCAAAUUUAUAUACUUAUUUUAAUACAUAAUCAAAUUUAACCAAGUGCAAAAUAGUCAUUUGACAGUUUUUCCCAUCAUUCACCCCUUCUUAUCUCCCCAUUCUAUAAAAACCGUCCAAACAAAGUCAAAUUUUAUCCCAUUUUUAAUAUCUCAUCCAAACCACAUAAUAUUUUAUCCCCCCGUGAACAUCAAAUCUAUGCGGGCCAACCCAUCAAAAUUAAUACCCUACUAUCUUAUCCCCUUCAUAUUUUUUACCCCCAAUUUUUUACCCGCAUCCAAGCGGGCCCUUGCAUCUAAAAAGAGGGGCUUUAAAUUCUUACUAUUUUUUUUGCUUUCCCCUACUUUCUCAGCAACCAAACAGAGCAAAGACAAUCUUUUUUACGGUUAAAAACAGGAAAAAGCACUAACCAUCAAAUACUGAGAGACUUUUAACAACCAAAAACACAAUUAAUCGAAAACCCACCUCUCUAGCGUCAAAUUUCAACAAGCUUUCACCA